This 209-nucleotide long non-coding RNA is filed under the name Elaeis guineensis (African oil palm). RNAcentral's name for it is "long non-coding RNA (EGUI_LNC028705)". Lineage: Eukaryota; Viridiplantae; Streptophyta; Magnoliopsida; Arecales; Arecaceae. The record is from RNAcentral.
CAAGAUAUUGUUUGAAGCGAUUGAUCCCACCACCAGCAAAUGACUUUCCAUAAUACAAGCAUGCCAACUUCAUCCUUUUGGUAUUACCACUAAGUUCAGGAGCUUCUCUACAAUGAUUCCAUGCAGGAUCACUUUUACCUCUAACCCUAGUUAUUUGAGUGGAUGAAGUAUUACUUGAAUCAUCCAUGGAUGGCAUACUUCCCUCAACA